Non-coding RNA from Trichonephila clavipes, 72 nucleotides. The record is from the annotation of a GenBank genome assembly. Lineage: Eukaryota; Metazoa; Arthropoda; Arachnida; Araneae; Nephilidae.
GUCCCUGUGGCACAACGGUAGCGCGUUGGACUUCUAAUCCAAAGGUCAUGGGUUUGAAUUCCACCAGAGAUG